Molecule: ribosomal RNA, 383 nt
Filed under: uncultured eukaryote
Lineage: Eukaryota
Description: SSU rRNA
Rfam family: Eukaryotic small subunit ribosomal RNA
Source: RNAcentral
AGCUCCAAUAGCGUAUACUAAAGUUGUUGCAGUUAAAAAGCUCGUAGUUGAAUUUCUGGUCGUGGCGACCGGUCCGCCCCUCACGGGGUGUGCACCUGGUCUCUGCGUCCAUCCUCGGGGAGAGCGCGUCUGGCAUUCAGUUGUCGGGCGCGGGAUCCUCGUCAUUUACUGUGAGCAAAAUAGAGUGUUCAAAGCAGGCUUAGGCCGUUGAAUACAUUAGCAUGGAAUAAUAAGAUAGGACCUUGGUCUAUUUUGUUGGUUUGCAUUCCAAGGUAAUGAUUAAUAGGGAUAGUUGGGGGUAUUCGUAUUCAAUUGUCAGAGGUGAAAUUCUUGGAUUUAUGGAAGACGAACUACUGCGAAAGCAUUUACCAAGGAUGUUUUCA